RNAcentral lists this ribosomal RNA (492 nucleotides) under uncultured bacterium. Its description in RNAcentral is "partial 16S ribosomal RNA". It matches the Rfam family "Bacterial small subunit ribosomal RNA", at positions 29 to 507 of the family's 1533-position model. The record is from RNAcentral.
AGUGAACGCUGGCGGUAGGCCUAACACAUGCAAGUCGAACGGCAGCACAGUAAGAGCUUGCUCUUACGGGUGGCGAGUGGCGGACGGGUGAGGAAUACAUCGGAAUCUACUUUUUCGUGGGGGAUAACGUAGGGAAACUUACGCUAAUACCGCAUACGACCUACGGGUGAAAGCAGGGGAUCUUCGGACCUUGCGCGAUUGAAUGAGCCGAUGUCGGAUUAGCUAGUUGGCGGGGUAAAGGCCCACCAAGGCGACGAUCCGUAGCUGGUCUGAGAGGAUGAUCAGCCACACUGGAACUGAGACACGGCCCAGACUCCUACGGGAGGCAGCAGUGGGGAAUAUUGGACAAUGGGCGCAAGCCUGAUCCAGCCAUACCGCGUGGGUGAAGAAGGCCUUCUGGUUGUAAAGCCCUUUUGUUGGGAAAGAAAAGCAGCAGGUUAAUACCCCGCUGUUCUGACGGUACCCAAAGAAUAAGCACCGGCUAACUUCGUG